RNAcentral lists this ribosomal RNA (769 nucleotides) under uncultured Planctomycetota bacterium. Its description in RNAcentral is "bacterial SSU rRNA". It matches the Rfam family "Bacterial small subunit ribosomal RNA", at positions 64 to 810 of the family's 1533-position model. Lineage: Bacteria; Pseudomonadati; Planctomycetota. The record is from RNAcentral.
GAACGAGGAUAUAUCCUUCGGGGUAUAAACCGAGUGGCGCAAGGGUGAGUAAUGCAUAGAUUACCUACCUCUAGGAUAAGGACAACUUUGUGAAAACGAAGCUAAUACUUAAUAAUACAAAUGGAAAUAAUUUUCAUUUGUCAAUGGGAGGGUAGCAAUACCUUUUGCCUAGAGAGGGGUUUAUGUCCUAUCAGCUUGUUGGUGGGGUAAUGGCCUACCAAGGCGAAGACGGGUAGCCGGUCUUAGAGGAUGGUCGGCCACACUGGGACUGAGACACUGCCCAGACUUCUACGGAAGGCUGCAGUCGAGAAUCUUUCGCAAUGCCCGAAAGGGUGACGAAGCGACGCCGCGUGAGUGAGGAAGGCCUUCGGGUUGUAAAGCUCUGUCAGGAGUUAAGAAAUAUAAGUGUGUUAAUACCACAUUUAUUUGACGAAGGCUCCAAAGGAAGCCACGGCUAACUCUGUGCCAGCAGCCGCGGUAAUACAGAGGUGGCAAGCGUUGUUCGGAAUUAUUGGGCGUAAAGAGCACGUAGGUGGGUUUGUAAGUCAGAUGUGAAAGCCUUCUGUUCAACGGAAGAAUUGCAUCUGAAACUGCGAGUCUUGAGUGUAGGAGGGGAGAAUGGAACUUCUGGUGGAGCGGUGAAAUGCGUAGAUAUCAGAAGGAACGCCGGCGGCGAAAGCGAUUCUCUGGCCUAUUACUGACACUCAGUGUGCGAAAGCUAGGGGAGCAAACGGGAUUAGAUACCCCGGUAGUCCUAGCCGUAAACGAU